RNAcentral lists this ribosomal RNA (1343 nucleotides) under uncultured bacterium. RNAcentral describes it as "16S ribosomal RNA". It matches the Rfam family "Bacterial small subunit ribosomal RNA", at positions 28 to 1378 of the family's 1533-position model. The record is from RNAcentral.
GACGAACGCUGGCGGCGUGCUUAACACAUGCAAGUCGAACGGAAAGGCCCUGCUUUUGUGGGGUGCUCGAGUGGCGAACGGGUGAGUAACACGUGAGUAACCUGCCCUUGACUUUGGGAUAACUUCAGGAAACUGGGGCUAAUACCGGAUAGGAGCUCCUGCUGCAUGGUGGGGGUUGGAAAGUUUCGGCGGUUGGGGAUGGACUCGCGGCUUAUCAGCUUGUUGGUGGGGUAGUGGCUUACCAAGGCUUUGACGGGUAGCCGGCCUGAGAGGGUGACCGGCCACAUUGGGACUGAGAUACGGCCCAGACUCCUACGGGAGGCAGCAGUGGGGAAUAUUGCACAAUGGGCGGAAGCCUGAUGCAGCAACGCCGCGUGCGGGAUGACGGCCUUCGGGUUGUAAACCGCUUUCGCCUGUGACGAAGCGUGAGUGACGGUAAUGGGUAAAGAAGCACCGGCUAACUACGUGCCAGCAGCCGCGGUGAUACGUAGGGUGCGAGCGUUGUCCGGAUUUAUUGGGCGUAAAGGGCUCGUAGGUGGUUGAUCGCGUCGGAAGUGUAAUCUUGGGGCUUAACCCUGAGCGUGCUUUCGAUACGGGUUGACUUGAGGAAGGUAGGGGAGAAUGGAAUUCCUGGUGGAGCGGUGGAAUGCGCAGAUAUCAGGAGGAACACCAGUGGCGAAGGCGGUUCUCUGGGCCUUUCCUGACGCUGAGGAGCGAAAGCGUGGGGAGCGAACAGGCUUAGAUACCCUGGUAGUCCACGCUGUAAACGGUGGGUACUAGGUGUGGGGUCCAUUCCACGGGUUCCGUGCCGUAGCUAACGCUUUAAGUACCCCGCCUGGGGAGUACGGCCGCAAGGCUAAAACUCAAAGGGAUUGACGGGGCCCCGCACAAGCGGCGGAGCAUGCGGAUUAAUUCGAUGCAACGCGUAGAACCUUACCUGGGUUUGACAUGGAUCGGGAGCGCUCAGAGAUGGGUGUGCCUCUUUUGGGGUCGGUUCACAGGUGGUGCAUGGCUGUCGUCAGCUCGUGUCGUGAGAUGUUGGGUUAAGUCCCGCAACGAGCGCAACCCUUGUUCACUGUUGCUAGCACGUUAUGGUGGGGACUCAGUGGAGACCGCCGGGGUCAACUCGGAGGAAGGUGGGGAUGACGUCAAGUCAUCAUGCCCCUUAUGUCCAGGGCUUCACGCAUGCUACAAUGGCUGGUACAGAGAGUGGCGAGCCUGUGAGGGUGAGCGAAUCUCGGAAAGCCGGUCUCAGUUCGGAUUGGGGUCUGCAACUCGACCUCAUGAAGUCGGAGUCGCUAGUAAUCGCAGAUCAGCAACGCUGCGGUGAAUACGUUCCCGGG